This 334-nucleotide long non-coding RNA is filed under the name Salmo salar (Atlantic salmon). Its description in RNAcentral is "lncRNA (ENSSSAG00000099232.1)". Lineage: Eukaryota; Metazoa; Chordata; Actinopteri; Salmoniformes; Salmonidae. The record is from RNAcentral.
GGGAAUAUAACAUUACAGACUGUAGAGUAGUGAAUAUAACAUUACAGACUGUAGAGUAAGUGUAGGGAAUAUAACAUUACAGACUGUAGAGUAGGGAAUAUAACAUUACAGACUGUAGAGUAGUGAAUAUAACAUUACAGACUGUAGAAUACAGUAUGUAGUGAAUAUAACAUUACAGACUGCAGAGUACAGUAUGUAGUGAAUAUAACAUUACAGACUGCAGAGUACAGUAUGUAGGGAAUAUAACAUUACAGACUGUAGAGUAGUGAAUAUAACAUUACAGACUGUAGAGUAGUGAAUAUAACAUUACAGACUGUAGAGUACAGUAUGUAGG